This 573-nucleotide ribosomal RNA is filed under the name Streptococcus sanguinis. RNAcentral describes it as "bacterial SSU rRNA". It matches the Rfam family "Bacterial small subunit ribosomal RNA", at positions 382 to 944 of the family's 1533-position model. The record is from RNAcentral. Lineage: Bacteria; Bacillati; Bacillota; Bacilli; Lactobacillales; Streptococcaceae.
CCCGACCGAGACAACGCCGCGUGAGUGAAGAAGGUGUUCGGAUGCGUAAAGCUCUGUUGUAAGAGAAGAACGGGUGUGAGAGUGGAAAGUUCACACUGUGACGGUAUCUUACCAGAAAGGGACGGCUAACUACGUGCCAGCAGCCGCGGUAAUACGUAGGUCCCGAGCGUUGUCCGGAUUUAUUGGGCGUAAAGCGAGCGCAGGCGGUUAGAUAAGUCUGAAGUUAAAGGCUGUGGCUUAACCAUAGUAUGCUUUGGAAACUGUUUAACUUGAGUGCAGAAGGGGAGAGUGGAAUUCCAUGUGUAGCGGUGAAAUGCGUAGAUAUAUGGAGGAACACCGGUGGCGAAAGCGGCUCUCUGGUCUGUAACUGACGCUGAAGCUCGAAAGCGUGGGGAGCAAACAGGAUUAGAUACCCUGGUAGUCCACGCCGUAAACGAUGAGUGCUAGGUGUUAGGCCCUUUCCGGGGCUUAGUGCCGCAGCUAACGCAUUAAGCACUCCGCCUGGGGAGUACGACCGCAAGGUUGAAACUCAAAGGAAUUGACGGGGGGCCGCACAAGCGGUGGAGCAUGUGG